This 592-nucleotide ribosomal RNA is filed under the name uncultured bacterium. RNAcentral describes it as "bacterial SSU rRNA". It matches the Rfam family "Bacterial small subunit ribosomal RNA", at positions 334 to 917 of the family's 1533-position model. The record is from RNAcentral.
UACUCCUACGGGAGGCAGCAGUGGGGAAUAUUGGACAAUGGGCGCAAGCCUGAUCCAGCCAUACCGCGUGGGUGAAGAAGGCCUUCGGGUUGUAAAGCCCUUUUGUUGGGAAAGAAAUCCAGCUGGUUAAUACCCGGUUGGGAUGACGGUACCCAAAGAAUAAGCACCGGCUAACUUCGUGCCAGCAGCCGCGGUAAUACGAAGGGUGCAAGCGUUACUCGGAAUUACUGGGCGUAAAGCGUGCGUAGGUGGUCGUUUAAGUCCGUUGUGAAAGCCCUGGGCUCAACCUGGGAACUGCAGUGGAUACUGGACGACUAGAGUGUGGUAGAGGGUAGCGGAAUUCCUGGUGUAGCAGUGAAAUGCGUAGAGAUCAGGAGGAACAUCCAUGGCGAAGGCAGCUACCUGGACCAACACUGACACUGAGGCACGAAAGCGUGGGGAGCAAACAGGAUUAGAUACCCUGGUAGUCCACGCCCUAAACGAUGCGAACUGGAUGUUGGGUGCAAUUUGGCACGCAGUAUCGAAGCCAACGCGUUAAGUUCGCCGCCUGGGGAGUACGGUCGCAAGACUGAAACUCAAAGGAAUUGACGGA